RNAcentral lists this ribosomal RNA (398 nucleotides) under uncultured bacterium. Its description in RNAcentral is "bacterial SSU rRNA". It matches the Rfam family "Bacterial small subunit ribosomal RNA", at positions 350 to 751 of the family's 1533-position model. The record is from RNAcentral.
AGCAGUCGAGAAUUUUUCUCAAUGGGGGCAACCCUGAAGGAGCGACGCCGCGUGGAGGAUGAAGGCUUUCGGGUUGUAAACUCCUGUCAUUUGGGAACAAAGCCCUGCAAGGGGUGUGAUAGUACCAGAAGAGGAAGAGACGGCUAACUCUGUGCCAGCAGCCGCGGUAAUACAGAGGUCUCAAGCGUUGUUCGGAUUCAUUGGGCGUAAAGGGCGCGUAGGCGGUGGGGUCAGUCGGGUGUGAAAUGUCGGGGCUCAACCCCGAACCGGCACUCGAUACUGCUCGACUGGAGGGCUGGAGAGGAGAUCGGAAUUCACGGUGUAGCAGUGAAAUGCGUAGAGAUCGUGAGGAAGACCGGUGGCGAAGGCGGAUCUCUGGACAGCUUCUGACGCUGAGG